CUUGACUGUAUCCUGGAAUGGGGUUCGGGCUUUUCUUGCGCAGCCUAGGUGGGAGGCUUUGAAGGUUUCCUUCUGGGGAAGCUGGAGCCAUCAGUGAGAGACCACUCUGGAAAGGCUAGAAUCCUAAUGGUGAUCCUUGAAUCAGGACACUUGACAGUUUCAGGUGGGCAGUUUGUUUGGGGCGAACGCCUCCUAAAAGGUAACGGAGGCGUGCAAAGGUUCCCUCAGUCUGGACGGAAAUCAGACGUGGAGUGUAAAGGCAGAAGGGAGCUUGACUGCAAGACCUACAAGUCGAGCAGGGGCGAAAGCCGGCCUUAGUGAUCCGACGGUGCCGCGUGGAAGGGCCGUCGCUCAACGAAUAAAAGUUA
RNAcentral lists this ribosomal RNA (368 nucleotides) under uncultured organism. RNAcentral's name for it is "bacterial LSU rRNA". It matches the Rfam family "Bacterial large subunit ribosomal RNA", at positions 2099 to 2465 of the family's 2925-position model. The record is from RNAcentral.